AAAAACAACAACAACAACAAAAAGAAAAGUGUAUAUAAAAUAUAUAUAUCCGUGUGUGUGGAUCUGCAACUAUAGCUAUAGAGACGUGUGUACGUAUAUGAAUAUAUCUGGUGAGUAUUAUCACCACAAUACCAUUAUAAGGCAUCUGUAGAUGUUCUGAAAACACCUAGAUUGUUCGAGAAGAAUCUGGUGAACAGAACUGCUCCAGGGAGGUUUUAUGAGGUCGGGAGGUCAGGAGAAGCUGUUAAAGUCUAACAAGGCAGAUUCUGCCUAGGGGACUUCUUCCUGCCGGGAAGACUCCUUACUCUACUUCUGUGAGUUUGACUUAGCUGUUUACAUUAGUCCUUAACCUGGCUGGGCUGUUUAUUUUCUUACACAUUUCUAAGCUUACCUGGCUACUUAACGUCUCCCUCCAACCCUGUUGUAGGCUUUUUGAACUGCUGAUUCAUAAUAACUAAACAAAGCCUCCACAGCAGGACCCUUAAGGGGUGGAGUGUGGUUGGAGAUCACUGGGGCUGGCCUUAAUGGGCCAUAGGGACUUUGCCCCUUCUAGUAUCUUUCUGUCUGUCUGUCUGUCUGUCUCUGCUUCCUGGCUGCUGUGAAGUGAAAAAUCCCUCCAUCACCUUCUGCCUUGCAACAAGACUAUGGACUGCAACCCUGAAACCAUAAUUCAAAAUAACCCUUUCUCCUUAUCAGCUGAUUAUCUCUGGUAUUUUGUUACAGCAAGCAAAAGCUAACAGUGACCAUGUGCGUAUAAUGCUUUUGAGGUUCACCCUCCUUGUAGCAUGUACCAGAAUUUUAUUCCUUUUUUGUAGCUGAAUAGUAUUCCGCUGGAUGGCUAGACCACAUUUUGUUCAAUCCAGUCACACAUGGAAGGACAUCUGGGCUGUGGCUACCUUUUGGCCACUGUGACAGAGCUGCUAUGACCAUGUAUGUGUAUGUGCUUGUUUAAAUCCCCACUUGCAGUUCCUUGGGGUGUAUACCCAGGAGCGAAUUGCCAGGUCAUGGAGUAAGUCUAGGUUUAACUUUCUGAGGAACUGCUGAACUGUUUUUCACAGUGGCUGCACUAUUUUAUGUCCCUACCAGUCACGCACAAGAGUUCCAACUUCUCCAUAUCCCUGCGACAUCCUUUUUAAGUGACUGCUGUCAGGCUAGUGGCUGUGAAGUGGUAUCCCACUGUGGUUUUGCUUUACGUUUCC
Long non-coding RNA from Chinchilla lanigera (long-tailed chinchilla), 1199 nucleotides. RefSeq lists it as uncharacterized. The transcript is spliced from 3 exons. NCBI's taxonomy places the organism in Eukaryota, Metazoa, Chordata, Mammalia, Rodentia, Chinchillidae. The record is from RefSeq and is a predicted model, not a curated record.